Saccostrea echinata is the source of this 1300-nucleotide long non-coding RNA. RefSeq lists it as uncharacterized. Lineage: Eukaryota; Metazoa; Mollusca; Bivalvia; Ostreida; Ostreidae. The record is from RefSeq and is a predicted model, not a curated record. The transcript is spliced from 3 exons.
UCAACUCGUAGUAGUACUUUCAGUACUUUGAUUAGGGUACUGGCACCAUAUGCUUCAGUACUUUCAUCUGUGAAGACCCAAUUGCUAACCCCACCAUGCACUAGAAAGAUCAUUAUGUGGGGACACAGGUGCUUAUUAUGACCAACGAACAGUCAUUUUCGAAUUAUCAUGUACAUGUAUACAUGGAUGGACAAACUAUGUUCACUGGAUGGCUAUAUAUCAACACUCCCAUGUACAUGAACAGCCUUGCCCCAAGAAUUUUGCCCUGAAGUAACAGUUUUCAGUCCAUUGUGUCCUUUCUCUUAACAACCCUGACAGCCAGGAUAUUAAAUAGCUGAUUACAUGUACUUGACAGAAAAUGAUCAUGUCUUAGACAAGUCAAAGACAUUCCUCCUGUCUUUCAGAGAAAUGACAGUUGAUGAAAGAAUGGUGGCCACAAAGUAAAAGUGCUCUGGUCUUCAACAUUUUGUGGAAGAUUAAAUCAGUCUGAUUUGGAAUUCAGCUUGCAAUAUUUCUGGAUUUGUAUAUUUGUAUAAAAACAUAACUUUUUCAACUUAUUGACUAAACAGUUUUGCAUUAGAUAUUGCCAAUGUCUUCUAUUAUUAUUUUUUUCCUCCAAGAUGACAUGUCAAGUCUUUAUUGUACGCCUUAAGAACUGUUACCAGAAAAAUCUUAAGCUUGUAAUGAAAUCAAUCAGUUUAUAUUUUCUUGUUAAAUUUAAAGUCGGGAGGAAAAUCAAUGAAGUAUAGGUUAUUUUUAAUGGCAUCAAGAAAAUGGAUUUGUUUUUGUUUAACAGAAAGAUUGUAUACAUGUUGUAGUUACUGUUUUGUAAUUUUUACAUCACGUACUGUUCAGUCAGACCUUUUUGUCCUUUUUUUUUUUUUUUUUGGAGUGAGAAAAAAAAUUAAAAACCUUUAUUAGCCACAUCUUUCAUGAAAUGUAUAGGACCUGUGGGUCUGUCAAUUUAAUUUGCUAGUAAAUAUGCAUCAUAAAUUGGAACGAAGUUGCACUAGUGGAAAGUACUGUUUAUUUUUUAAUUUACUUGAUAUUAUGGUUGUGAAUUUUUUUUUAAAAAAAUUAGAACACAAGAAACCCUGUUUGUAAAUUGUACUUCAAAUUUUUGACAACCUGAUUUUUAAUUACUUGCAUUGUCAAUUUAUUAUUGCCUUGAAAGACCAAGUCAAUUGUUUCUCAUCAAACAUGGCUAGUGAAUGCCGUCUUCACCAGCGAAGGGAUUUGCUGUUCUUCUCACAAACCCAUGGUCUAUCUUGCUAUCAAAAGUCCGGAUUAUUUUCACAAG